CGGAGAUAUCAAAUAGGGAGGUGAAGCAAAUUCUAGAGAAAACAGUUAACAAUUCUCGAAAAGAUUAGGCCAAAAAGCUAGAUGAUGCGCUGUGGGCUUAUCGGACAGCAUACAAAACACCUUUGGGAAUGUCUCCUUAUUGGUUAGUCUAUGGAAAGGCAUGCCAUCUUCCUGUAGAGCUCGAGCCCAAAGCUUAUUGGGCGAUGAAGCAACUAAACAUGGAUCUUCAAGCAGCUGGUGAAAAGCGUUGUUUGCAAAUUAAUGAGAUGGACGAGUUUCGUAAUGAAGCUUAUGAGAAUGCAAGGAUUUACAAGGAACGGACCAAAGCUUAGCAUGAUAAGCACAUCUCAAAGAAAGAGUUUCUACCUGGACAACAAGCUUUACUUUACAAUGCAAGGCUUCAUUUUUUUUCCAGGAAAGCUCAAAUCUCGAUGGUCAAGCCCAUUCACAGUUGUUAAAGUUUUUCCCCAUGGAGCAGUGGAAAUCACUCAUGAUGAGAAUGAGACAUUUAAAGUGAAUGGACAACAUUUGAAGCCUUAUUUAAGUGGAGAAUUUGACAACAAGAAGACAACCAUUCUUCUUAAUCCGGCCUAGAAGAAGAGCAACAGUGAAGCUAUUGACUAUAACUAAGCGCUUCUUGGGAGGCAACCCAAGCAUUCAAACCUCUGUUUUGCUUUUUU
Molecule: long non-coding RNA, 680 nt
Filed under: Olea europaea subsp. europaea
Lineage: Eukaryota; Viridiplantae; Streptophyta; Magnoliopsida; Lamiales; Oleaceae
Source: RNAcentral